GCCCAGCUAGCUCAAUCUGUAGAACAUGGGACUCUUAAUCCCAGGGUCUUGGGUUCAAGCCCCAUGUUGGGCG
Cricetulus griseus (Chinese hamster) is the source of this 73-nucleotide non-coding RNA. The record is from Rfam. Lineage: Eukaryota; Metazoa; Chordata; Mammalia; Rodentia; Cricetidae.